AGUGAACGCUGGCGGUAGGCCUAACACAUGCAAGUCGAACGGCAGCACAGUAAGAGCUUGCUCUUACGGGUGGCGAGUGGCGGACGGGUGAGGAAUACAUCGGAAUCUACUUUUUCGUGGGGGAUAACGUAGGGAAACUUACGCUAAUACCGCAUACGACCUACGGGUGAAAGCAGGGGAUCUUCGGACCUUGCGCGAUUGAAUGAGCCGAUGUCGGAUUAGCUAGUUGGCGGGGUAAAGGCCCACCAAGGCGACGAUCCGUAGCUGGUCUGAGAGGAUGGUCAGCCACACUGGAACUGAGACGCGGUCCAGACUCCUACGGGAGGCAGCAGUGGGGAAUAUUGGACAAUGGGCGCAAGCAUGAUCCAGCCAUACCGCGUGGGUGAAGAAGGCCUUCGGGUUGUAAAGCCCUUUUGUUGGGAAAGAAAAGCAGCAGGUUAAUACCCCGCUGUUCUGACGGUAACCAAAGAAUAAGCACCGGCUAACUUCGUG
RNAcentral lists this ribosomal RNA (492 nucleotides) under uncultured bacterium. Its description in RNAcentral is "partial 16S ribosomal RNA". It matches the Rfam family "Bacterial small subunit ribosomal RNA", at positions 29 to 507 of the family's 1533-position model. The record is from RNAcentral.